Molecule: non-coding RNA, 3661 nt
Organism: Anas platyrhynchos (mallard)
Lineage: Eukaryota; Metazoa; Chordata; Aves; Anseriformes; Anatidae
Source: RefSeq, a predicted model, not a curated record
AGCUGCAUCUACUUCUGCUCCUGUUGGGGCUCUAUGGAUGUUCCUACUCCAGCCCUUGCUGUGCCUGGGGCUGUCAGUGGGCCUGCUGGGACUCCUGGCCAUGCAGGAUGUGUGUCCCCCCCAUCAGUAAGGGCAUAGCUGGUGAAGGUGGUCCUCUGCCUCAAUGUGGGGCCACUCUGCUUCUGAGCAGUUGUGUGGGGAUAUGCUCUGAGCGAGGAGAUGGGAAUAAUGCAGAUCCCCAGCUUGCCCUAAGCAACAGUGCAGCAGGUUUAGACUAGUUGAGUAUGAGAUUGAAGUAAUGAGAGUGUAGAAAUAUUGUCUUGGGAAAAAAAUCAGGAAAUGUUACAGCGUGAGCAAACUGGAGUGUUGCAUUGUAGUCUGUGUGGGCUGUUGCACCCUGCUGGAGAGGGUGGACUACCAAACCCUCCUGGGCAGGGUGGGUGAUUACUGUAAGCUGUGCUCAGCUGGUGCUUCUCUCUGUGCCAGACGUUUAAUUCUCAGACUCAGAGGACCCUUGUGUGUAUUUGAACCAUGAAAGUGAUGAAGGAAAAGUAACAUAAACAAAAAUGACAAUUAUUUAGAAGUUGGAAACUUAGAAGAACAACGAUAUUCAGUUCAGAAGACUGCCAGGCCAAGUCCAGCCUUCUGAUUCCAGUAAACACAAUUACAUUGAAUACCCUCAGGUGCUCGCAUGCUGCUGUGCUGUGGAGAAGAUUUCUGCUCAGGCAGCAGAGCAGCCGCGUCCUGUGCUCAGGAGUACCUCAGGGGUAGGAAUGCUCCAGGGAGAAGCCCAAGGAAUAAGGUCAGGCCUUACAGAAGUACCACAGCAUGGUUAACUGCCUCAGAAGUGUAAAGUUUCACGGACAGAGGAGCAACACUUCACAGGAAGUAUUGACACAUUGACACAUGCUGUUCCAACUCUUCUGGCCGAAGAAUAAAAUGUGAAUGCUUUAUUCACAGCUGAGAGCACUUACUACCCAAAGCAGCCUCCCUGAAGGCACUGCAACUAUUUCUGAGAGCUAAUUGUGUGAAUAACGUGAUACUGUAUAAAUGUGAUCAGUGACUGGAGUGUUGCAGGAGUGCUUGCUUACAGCAGUUCCGCUAUAAGACAGUGCUACCCUUACUCAUGUAUUUUUACAGGUAGACUGUGAGCUGUGUCCUUGGUCAAGAAAGCAGCCUGAAAGGGAAGUCACUGGGGAAACGAGCAAAAUCAAAUUCUGAAACAAGUUAUCACUAACUGUCGGCAACACUAGGUAAAACUAAAAUAGAGAGGUGAUAAUGGUAUGAAACGGGAAAGGAGGAGUGUGAAGAACUGAGGUCAUCAGGAAAAAAAGGGCGAAAAAUAAUUGAAGCUUAAACCCUGCUUUUUGUUACUGCUUUUUUCCUCCUUAAUCCUCAUUUAUUUCAGGUCAUUCCUCAGGAAACCACAGCUGGGUCUUUUUUCUAAAUGGUAAGGCAAUACUGGGAGUCCUGUUGUUUUAUUUGAAAAAUUGAUGAUGGAGAAGAGAAUCUGUUAACACAGUCCUGCUUAUCCAGCAUGAAUAUGCAGAAGGUCCCACUUGACAGGCAUUAUGAACCAGAGUCAGUUCAUUUAUUGGGCCCAAGCAUCUCUCCAGACAAGGUUAAGAAAUACCUUCUCCUUUCUGCUUUUCAGCCCUCUUCCUGAUUUUCAGAUACUUAGCUACAGUUCCUUUCUUUUUCCUAGAACAUUAUUCUAGCAAAAAGUAUGUGUCAAGUCUUCUGUCCUCCUAACUCCUCUGAUCAGUCACACCUACAGUCAGUGUUUUAGUCAUGGUCCAAAUUUCUUUAUUCCAGAAGCUAAUGCCCUCAGAGAAAGGCAACCAUUAUAAUCAGCAGCCUGUCCAGCAUUUCACCCCUCCUUGGUUCACAGCACAAUGGAUAUGUUCACAAGGAAAAAUCAGGGAAUAGCUAGUACACAAAAAUGCCUAUCUGUGCCAGUGUGAUUUAUCCCGUGUUGAUAGCAUUAGCACUGAAAGUGUAGGGUAAUAGGAUCACACAUUACUUGGAGUUCCCAGAGGUCUUGGUCCUUGUUAGCUUUUUUUUUCUACAUGUGCUAGCACAAUCCAAAUAGCAUAACUAGAUUCAUGCACAUAAAAUCACACCUUCAUUUUGCUGUGUAUGAGGCAAGGAAUUGACUGUCCGGUCUGAAGAUAGCAGCCUACCUACAAUGAGGGCUUCUGCGUACAAGAAGAAAAGCAUGAGAAAAUAGAAGGUCAGUGUCUUAAGAUGGGUAAAGAAAAUGGGAUGGAAAAAUGCUAGAUUACAAAAAAUGAAUUACUAUUAAGUCAUUUUCCCUACUGUAUAAUUUCCUCUCAUUCCUCCAUCUUCCUAGCCAUUAUGCUAAAUGACAAAACAAGCAGUAAAGACCAGAACAAGAACUUCUCAUGAAGAACAGCCAAAAGUAAAACUUUUUUCCUCCCCUCUCUUCUUCCCCAAAGUCUAAAGAUGCUCUUGCAAAGAGUGUGUGCUUGUGAACCAGAAACAGGCUCUUAAUGGAAGGAACUUGGCUGUAAUUUAUUUUUGUCUUGUGAUAUUAAGUAAUUUUACUUGAUGUACCAUUUUUAAAAAUAAAAGUAUGGGUAUAUGGCGAAGUAGAAGUAUGAGAUACAGUGAAUACAGAGACACUUGAAUUUAUUCUUGAAUUCCUUUAAAGCUCAUGUACUCAUGAAUGCCUGUGAAAUCUUCCAGAUACUAAAUGGAACUUUGUGCUUUUUUCUUUUUCCCCGCGGGAAGCCUAAUAUUCCCACUUCUGCCCCAAAGCAGGAAAUUUCUAGGAAAAAUCUCACACAGGGUUUGCCUGCAAAGCCAUUGUCAAAUGAUGAGAUUUGAGAUUCAAGAAAUUGAAACUUUUUUUUUUGCACAUUGUGCAAAGGGUAUAGCAGUGGUUCUGGUGGAUUCUUUUGUAAAUUAUUUGCCUCUUCUACACAAAUGUGCCAACUGAUGUUGUUCUGCGUGCUUUUAAAUUUCUCUCUUCAAUGUAAUUACUAGAGGUACAUCAGUGCCUAAGGCUAUGUUAUUAUCUCUAGAUUCAGACACUGUAAAAUACACAUCUGUUUGUGUCUUCCAUUUUCUAGCUCGAUAUUCACACGGAAAUAUGUUGUGGUGUCUCAGCGUGACAGGUGUACGUAUACUCACUUCUCAGUGGCCCUGCCUGGCCUCAGUAUGUUUGCAAAUGUUGAAGCCUAAAAGAUGUUUUCCCCACAGAAACCACGCAGUAGAUGUAACAAGUAAUCAAUCUUCUGAACAGCAAUCAGGAAGCCUCUUAACAAACAUCCUACACAAACACAAUAAUUAAUCUAAGCUAUGACCUGAAUAGCAAUUAAUAUAAUCAGCAUUAAAAGGUGUGCCUACUGUACUCAUUUUGGGCUGUCAUAGGAUGUUAUAUGCAAUAUAAAAAAAUUGGUUUGUUUUGAAGAAUACUGAUUUCAGGAGUGAAAGAUGCAGAUCGGGUUGUUUGUUCCAGUGUGCUCAGAUUAAAGCAAAACACAAUGUCAAAGUAGAUAAAAAGGAUAUAUACACACAAACUAUGAAAAAAACCACCACCACCACCAAAAAAACAACCACCAAGCCAAACAAAAACCCAGACUUCUAACCACAAACUCUCAGAUGAGCAAUUGUGGUCUGUGAGCAUUAAGUGGUG